GAUGAACGCUGGCGGCGUGCCUAAUACAUGCAAGUCGAGCGAACAGACGAGGAGCUUGCUCCUCUGACGUUAGCGGCGGACGGGUGAGUAACACGUGGAUAACCUACCUAUAAGACUGGGAUAACUUCGGGAAACCGGAGCUAAUACCGGAUAAUAUAUUGAACCGCAUGGUUCAAUAGUGAAAGACGGUUUUGCUGUCACUUAUAGAUGGAUCCGCGCCGCAUUAGCUAGUUGGUAAGGUAACGGCUUACCAAGGCAACGAUGCGUAGCCGACCUGAGAGGGUGAUCGGCCACCCUGGAACUGAGACACGGUCCAGGCGCCUACGGGAGGCAGCAGUAGGGAAUCUGCCGCAAUGGGCGAAAGCCUGGCGGAGCAACGCCGCGUGAGUGAUGAAGGUCUUCGGAUCGUAAAACUCUGUUAUUAGGGAAGAACAAAUGUGGAAGUAACUAUGCACGUCUUGACGGUACCUAAUCAGAAAGCCACGGCUAACUACGUG
Molecule: ribosomal RNA, 497 nt
Filed under: uncultured bacterium
Lineage: Bacteria
Description: partial 16S ribosomal RNA
Rfam family: Bacterial small subunit ribosomal RNA
Source: RNAcentral